This 444-nucleotide ribosomal RNA is filed under the name uncultured bacterium. Its description in RNAcentral is "partial 16S ribosomal RNA". It matches the Rfam family "Bacterial small subunit ribosomal RNA", at positions 30 to 493 of the family's 1533-position model. The record is from RNAcentral.
AACGAACGCUGGCGGCAGGCUUAACACAUGCAAGUCGAACGAGCUGGGGGCUUCGGUCCCCGCUGCUAGUGGCGCACGGGUGAGUAACACGUGGGAAUAUGCCCUUUAGUACGGAAUAACCAAGGGAAACUUUGGCUAAUACCGUAUACGCCCUUCGGGGGAAAGAUUUAUCGCUAAAGGAUUAGCCCGCGUCUGAUUAGGUAGUUGGUGAGGUAAUGGCUCACCAAGCCGACGAUCAGUAGCUGGUCUGAGAGGAUGAUCAGCCACACUGGGACUGAGACACGGGCCCGAGACCCACGGGGGGGGGAAGGGGGGAAAAUUGGAGAAAGGGGGGAAAACCGAGACAGACCUGGCGGGGGAGGGAAAAAAGGGUUGGGGGUGUAAAAAUCUUUUGAGGGGGAGGAUAAGAAGAGGAAACGUAUAAAAAACCCCGGGAAAAUUUGU